This 807-nucleotide ribosomal RNA is filed under the name uncultured bacterium. RNAcentral's name for it is "bacterial SSU rRNA". It matches the Rfam family "Bacterial small subunit ribosomal RNA", at positions 1 to 792 of the family's 1533-position model. The record is from RNAcentral.
CCCUUAGAGUUUGAUCCUGGCUCAGGACGAACGCUGGCGGCGUGCCUAACACAUGCAAGUCGAACGAGUCCAGGUCUUCGGACCUGAGGCGAGUGGCGGACGGGUGAGUAACACGUGAGCAAUCUAUCCUGUUGCGGGGGACAACGAGGGGAAACCUUCGCUAAUACCGCAUGGUCGAGAACCUCGAUGGGGUUUUCGGGAAACGUGGCCUCUUAGCAAUGCUACGGCGAUGGGAGGAGCUCGCGGGCUAUCAGCUUGUUGGUGAGGUCAUGGCUCACCAAGGCGACGACGGCUACGGGGUCUGAGAGGACGACCCCGCACAUUGGAACUGAGACACGGUCCAGACUCCUACGGGAGGCAGCAGUGGGGAAUAUUGGGCAAUGGCCGAAAGGCUGACCCAGCGACGCCGCGUGUGGGAGGAAGCCCUUCGGGGUGUAAGCCACUGUCAGGAGGGACGAAAGAGUCGGGGGUGAAUAAUCCUCGGCAGUGACGGUACCUCCAAAGGAAGCACCGGCUAACUCUGUGCCAGCAGCCGCGGUAAUACAGAGGGUGCGAGCGUUGUUCGGAAUUACUGGGCGUAAAGCGCGCGCAGGCGGGUCCUGUAAGUCGGAAGUGAAAUUUCGGAGCUCAACUCCGAAGCUGCUUCUGAUACUGCGGAUCUGGAGAUCGGUAGAGGUCGGUGGAAUUACAGGUGUAGCGGUGGAAUGCGUAGAUAUCUGUAAGAACACCCGUGGCGAAAGCGGCCGACUGGGCCGAAUCUGACGCUGAGCGCGAAAGCGUGGGGAGCAACAGAUAGAUACCCUGGUA